GUGGGGGAUAUUGCACAAUGGGGGAAACCCUGAUGCAGCGACGCCGCGUGAGUGAAGAAGUAUUUCGGUAUGUAAAGCUCUAUCAGCAGGGAAGAAGAUGACAGUACCUGAGUAAGAAGCCCCGGCUAACUACGUGCCAGCAGCCGCGGUAAUACGUAGGGGGCAAGCGUUAUCCGGAUUUACUGGGUGUAAAGGGAGCGUAGACGGAUGGAUAAGUCUGAAGUGAAAGCCCGCGGCUCAACUGCGGGACUGCUUUGGAAACUGUGCAUCUUGAGUACGGGAGGGGCAGGCGGAAUUCCUGGUGUAGCGGUGAAAUGCGUAGAUAUCAGGAGGAACACCGGCGGCGAAGGCGGCCUGCUGGACCGAAACUGACGUUGAGGCUCGAAAGCGUGGGGAGCAAACAGG
Molecule: ribosomal RNA, 405 nt
Filed under: bacterium
Lineage: Bacteria
Also listed under: 1 other name
Description: bacterial SSU rRNA
Rfam family: Bacterial small subunit ribosomal RNA
Source: RNAcentral